This 57-nucleotide microRNA precursor is filed under the name Petromyzon marinus (sea lamprey). RNAcentral's name for it is "Pma-Mir-15-P1o2_pre stem-loop". The record is from RNAcentral. Lineage: Eukaryota; Metazoa; Chordata; Hyperoartia; Petromyzontiformes; Petromyzontidae.
UAGCAGCACAUCAUGGAUUGCGGGUGUUGUAGAUGCAAGCCAUGCUGUGCGGCCUUG